This 202-nucleotide long non-coding RNA is filed under the name Trifolium pratense (red clover). RNAcentral describes it as "long non-coding RNA (TPRA_LNC004784)". The record is from RNAcentral. Lineage: Eukaryota; Viridiplantae; Streptophyta; Magnoliopsida; Fabales; Fabaceae.
UUUUUUGCUGCCGUUUCUCGUCACCAGCCCGUCUCCUUCGUAUGGUUUUGUUCGAACCCUAUUUCUUGUCACCGAAUAUGUUAUUUUUAUCGGUUUGAUUUUGAGUGAAAAAAUCAUCAUCUGAUUUGCUAUAUGGUUAAUUCAAAGCAGGAAGGAUAAGAUUUUCGGAUCUAGAUGAAGAAAUUUCAGUCUGGCUAAGGAG